RNAcentral lists this ribosomal RNA (936 nucleotides) under uncultured bacterium. RNAcentral's name for it is "bacterial SSU rRNA". It matches the Rfam family "Bacterial small subunit ribosomal RNA", at positions 8 to 916 of the family's 1533-position model. The record is from RNAcentral.
AGAGUUUGAUCCUGGCUCAGAAUGAACGCUGGCGGCGUGCGUAACACAUGCAAGUCGAACGAGAAAUUCCGGGCUUGCUCGGGAGAGUAAAGUGGCGAACGGGUGAGUAACGCGUGGGUAACCUGCCCCUGAAUCUGGAAUAACUUCGCGAAAGCGAGGCUAAUACCGGAUAUUGUCCCAGGGACCUCGGUCCUUGUGAUGAAAGAUGACCUCUUCACGAAAGUUGUCGUUCAGGGAGGGGCCCGCGUACCAUUAGCUAGUUGGUAGGGUAAUGGCCUACCAAGGCGAUGAUGGUUAGCUGGUCUGAGAGGAUGACCAGCCACACUGGCACUGAAACACGGGCCAGACUCCUACGGGAGGCAGCAGUGAGGAAUUUUGCGCAAUAGGGGAAACCCUGACGCAGCAACGCCGCGUGAGUGAAGAAGGCCCUCGGGUCGUAAAGCUCUGUCAAGUGGGAAAAAAGCUUACUGGUGAAUAGCCAGGAAGACUGAUGGUACCAUUGAAGGAAGCACCGGCUAACUCCGUGCCAGCAGCCGCGGUAAUACGGAGGGUGCAAGCGUUGUUCGGAAUUACUGGGCGUAAAGGGCGUGUAGGCGGUGUGGUAAGUCAGAUGUGAAAGCCCUGGGCUUAACCCAGGAAGUGCAUUUGAAACUGCCAUGCUUGAGUAUGGGAGAGGAGAGUGGAAUUCCCAGUGUAGAGGUGAAAUUCGUAGAUAUUGGGAGGAACACCCGUGGCGAAGGCGACUCUCUGGACCAAUACUGACGCUGAGGCGCGAAAGCGUGGGGAGCAAACAGGAUUAGAUACCCUGGUAGUCCACGCUGUAAACGAUGAGCACUAGGUGUAGCGGGUAUUGACCCCUGCUGUGCCGUAGCUAACGCAUUAAGUGCUCCGCCUGGGGAGUACGGCCGCAAGGCUAAAACUCAAAGGAAUUGACGG